GUCCCCGUUGAAGAGUGUAGGUGUUGAGGAUGGCAGGCAAAUCCACCGUCCGAGCUGAACUUGAUAGUAUGGAGUCUUCUUCGGAAGAAUCCAAUAGUGUGGGUAAUCAUACUCCCGAGAAAAUCCGCUAAGCUUAACCCAUGCGGCACCCGUACCGCAAACGGACACACGUGGUCGGGUAGAACAUACUGAGGCGUUGAGAGAUUCAUGGUUAAGGAACUAGGCAAAUUGACCCUGUAACUUCGGGAUAAAGGGUCCUCGUGAAUAGCGAGGCGCAGAGAAUAGGUCCAGGCAACUGUUUAACAAAAACACAGGGCUGUGCAAACUCGAAAGAUGACGUAUACAGCCUGACACCUGCCCGGUGCCGGAAGGUUAAGAGGAGAUGUCACUAGCAAUAGGAAGCAUUGAAUUGAAGCCCCGGUAAACGGCGGCCGUAACAAUAACGGUCCUAAGGUAGCGAAAUUCCUUGUCGGGUAAGUUCCGACCUGCACGAAUGGUGUAAUGAUCCGGACGCUGUCUCAACCAUGAGCUCAGUGAAAUUGUAGUAUCGGUGAAGAUGCCGAUUACCCGCGAUGGGACGAAAAGACCCCGUGAACCUUUACUACAGCUUAGCAUUGACCUUGGUCAUCCGAUGUGUAGGAUAGGCCGGAGGCUUCGAAGCGGGAGCGCCAGCUUUCGUGGAGCCAUCCUUGAAAUACGGCCCUUUGGCUGUCUGAGGUCUAACGCGUGAAACGCGGACACUGCUUGGUGGGUAGUUUGACUGGGGUGGUCGCCUCCAAAAGCGUAACGGAGGCUUCCAAAGGUGCCCUCGGGUCGAUUGGUAACCGACCUCAAAGAGUGCAAUGGCAUAAGGGCGCUUGACUGGGAGGCAGACAUGCCGAGCAGGCAGGAAACUGGGGCAUAGUGAUCCGGCGGAUGUGUAUGGAAACUCCGUCGCUCAAAGGAUAAAAGGUACUCCGGGGAUAACAGGCUGAUCCCCCCCAAGAGCUCAUAUCGACGGGGUGGUUUGGCACCUCGACGUCGGCUCGUCACAUCCUGGGGCUGGAGAAGGUCCCAAGGGUUGGGCUGUUCGCCCAUUAAAGUGGCACGCGAGCUGGGUUCAGAACGUCGUGAGACAGUUCGGUCUCUAUCUAUCGUGGGCGUGGGAGUUUUGAGUGGUGCCGUCACUAGUACGAGAGGACCGUGAUGGACAGACCUCCGGUUUACCAGUUGUGCCGCCAGGCGCACCGCUGGGUAUCUGAGUCUGGAUUGGAUAGCGCUGAAAGCAUCUAAGUGCGAAGCCAGCCGCAAGAUGAGAACUCCAUUGAGGGUCGUCAGAGACGAUGACGUUGAUAGGAUGCAGGUGUAAAGACAGCGAUGUCAAAGCCGAGCAUUACUAAUUGCCC
RNAcentral lists this ribosomal RNA (1385 nucleotides) under metagenome. Its description in RNAcentral is "bacterial LSU rRNA". It matches the Rfam family "Bacterial large subunit ribosomal RNA", at positions 1504 to 2910 of the family's 2925-position model. The record is from RNAcentral.